RNAcentral lists this ribosomal RNA (484 nucleotides) under uncultured bacterium. Its description in RNAcentral is "partial 16S ribosomal RNA". It matches the Rfam family "Bacterial small subunit ribosomal RNA", at positions 29 to 507 of the family's 1533-position model. The record is from RNAcentral.
AGUGAACGCUGGCGGCAGGCCUAACACAUGCAAGUCGAGCGGCAGCGCGGGGGCAACCCUGGCGGCGAGCGGCGGACGGGUGAGGAAUUCGUCGGAAUCUGCCUUUUUGUGGGGGAUAACGUAGGGAAACUUACGCUAAUACCGCAUACGUCCUACGGGAGAAAGUGGGGGACCGCAAGGCCUCACGCAGAAAGAUGAGCCGACGACCGAUUAGCUAGUUGGUGGGGUAAAGGCCCACCAAGGCGACGAUCGGUAGCUGAUCUGAGAGGAUGAUCAGCCACACUGGGACUGAGACACGGCCCAGACUCCUACGGGAGGCAGCAGUGGGGAAUAUUGGACAAUGGGCGCAAGCCUGAUCCAGCCAUGCCGCGUGUGUGAAGAAGGCCUUCGGGUUGUAAAGCACUUUUGUCCGGAAAGAAAUCCCUGGAGCUAAUACCUUCGGGGGAUGACGGUACCGGAAGAAUAAGCACCGGCUAACUUCGUG